UAAAUUGCUGGAUUUUUGGACUUUGUCCAUCGUCUGAUAUUAAAAAAAAAAACACACGACGUUUCAGAAAUUGGAUGUUUUCGUCAUCAGGUAAAAUUAACAGUAAUUGAGGUUAUCUACCAUUCGUCGUAAAAUACGUUCAUCACAACAGCAUAAAAUACGGUACUAGUAGGGCCAACAUAACAACCUAGAACUUCAUGACUCAAUUGUUACAGUGUACCCAAUCACACUUGAAGUUACCAAAUAACUACUUCUGUAACCGUGCCCUGAUAAUAAAUAAUGUAACACUGAAUUGCAUUGUUGAAAGGUUUCCGUAGAAACAGACUAGUUAUUCAGAUGACAACAUAAUAAUACUGCUUUUGUGAUAUGGUUUGUGUGUGGAGAACUGUCAUGCAAAAUGAAAUAUUUAUCUGAGGAAACAUGUCCAUGGUCAUGGAGUCUAAAUCCUCAUGAGCGGAGAAACUAUCUCCUACAGGAAGUAGAGAGCACACAAACACCAAAGGUCAGCUACGAGAAUCUUGCAAAAUGGUUAGCAAUUGCAGAAGAUGUGCAGAUUGUCUGUGAUUUGUGUUCUGGUGUGGAUGAUGCCAGAAGAACGAGAGACCAGGAAGAAGCAGAGGAGGAUGGGCCUGGGUUUGGCACAGAAAAUGAGUUGACUGCCAUUGGAUGUGAUACAGACAGGAUUAUGAAAAGUGGCCUGCCUUUCGAUGAAGAAGAAAUCCUUCUUAGUUCGCAGUUUGAGAAUAUGAAGCCCCAUUGUAAGACGACAGCUGCUGUCAUCGAGGAGAAAAGGGACGAGCGUAUUGUAAUAGCAACACAGCUGGAUGUGGAUAAGGUGGAGGACGAGAUGCAGGAGAUGCAGCGGCAGAAUGAGAUUGAAUCGGGGAUUGACAUUGAGGAGAGCUUCAUGGAAUCUGAGCACGAAACAUAUGAGGCUGAUGAGUUGAGUGAGCAACUGGAAGAGAAGCUGGAGGCUAUGAAGAAGGGUGACGUAGACGUUCUCGGAAUAGCUUGCAAUAGUGAUGAAGGCUCCCAGAGUAUUGUCUUGUCUCAAUACAUGGAUUCUGUGGCUAACAGGACGAAUGAUUACGUAAGAUACGAACGUAAAAUUCUGAUGAGCGUGAUGGAACAGCAGGCUGCGUAUAGGCAGUUACAUUACGCAUCUACAAGCAGUCAGAGUAAUAUUGAUGUUGAAGGGAACAUGUCGCAGAUGAGUUCACAAGGUUAUUCUAGUGUUAAUGCAGAACAUGAAACACUUCAUAGGAAAAGAAAGGCGGCGAGUUUGGAGCCGUAUUUUGCGAAGAAGGCGGCUGUCAUGAAAGAGCGUGGGAACAUGGUGAUUGGAAGGAUACCACAACAGCGAGCAUUCUUAGAAGACUUGAGGGACAGAAAACGGCGACUCGAGGAACAGAACAUUGAGCUGCAAAAUGAAUUGGAUUCGUGCAGUGACAUGGAGAAACAAUUAACGUUGCUGAAGCGGUUAGCGGUUGAGGCUUAUGAUGUGAGUGAGCAACUGGAAGAAGAGGUGGAUUCUCUGGGGAUGGCUGGUGUAUAUGUGAUAUAUUCUGAUUGUCAGAAAGGCUCUUGGUUGAGCGAGGAACGCGACGCUCUAAGUAAUAUGAUCGAGAGGAUAGAAGAAAACAUCGGAAACGUACAUGAUUGUCUUCUGUUGAAAGUCGAGAAUCAGCAGGCUGCAUUGAGUGAAUUACAUUUCCAGUCUUCGAGCGUUCAGGCGGAUCUUGCCGCUCAAAGGGACGUCCUACGAAUGGGAUUACGAGAUCGUGCCGGUGUCGACGCAGAACUUGAAGAGCUCCGCGAUAGAGAGAAGAAAGCUGAAGAAAUAGGAAUUGAAUGUGACAGGAUGGCGGAUGCUUUGGGAACGUUUGACAGUGUUACGGUGCCUCUUCUUAACGAGCUGAUUCCAGUCGCAGUGGAAGAACACUGCAACUUCAGAGAGCUUCUUAUUUUCUCAGAGGCAGUGUUAUUGUCCAUGGAGUUCAAACUGAUGGCCAGAAGAACGAGAGACCAGGAAGAAGCAGAGGAGGAUGGGCCUGGGUUUGGCACAGAAAAUGAGUUGACUGCCAUUGGAUGUGAUACAGACAGGAUUAUGAAAAGUGGCCUGCCUUUCGAUGAAGAAGAAAUCCUUCUUAGUUCGCAGUUUGAGAAUAUGAAGCCCCAUUAUAAGACGACAGCUGCUGUCAUCGAGGAGAAAAGGGACGAGCGUAUUGUAAUAGCAACACAGCUGGAUGUGGAUAAGGUGGAGGACGAGAUGCAGGAGAUGCAGCGGCAGAAUGAGAUUGAAUCGGGGAUUGACAUUGAGGAGAGCUUCAUGGAAUCUGAGGAGGAAACAGAUGAGGCUGCUAAUGUAAAAUGUAGCUUCUGGAGAUGAGCCUGGUUAAAUUUUCUCGCUUAUUCUGAUCUUUGAGAGACUCCCUCUUCUUAUUCCUCAGAGUUCUGCUGUUUCCUCCGUCUUACCAGGAUAGAGCAUUCUUCGUUGAACCGUGCUCUAUUUCGCAAAAUUUUAUGAUUCGUCACUAAUUACGGAAAUGAACGGAAGUGGUUCAUUUUAAUGCGCUGAGACUGAUUUGCCUUGUGCUUUCCAGUUUUAUUUAUUCGUCCGCCCACAAAGUUAACAGACGAAUAAAUGAAAUGAUGACCAAUAAUUGUGAUGGAGAAAAUUUAGUAACAAUAUUGACAAUGCUUAAAAUCAUUACCUGAGUGAAUGUCGUCAGAGAGACUUCGUAGAACAUGCCUGCGCUGAGGUGCACAGGUUUUUGGGCCCUCAUGAUUACCACAGACAGGAGAAACUUGAAGCUUGGGGGGUGGUGAUACCAGUUGCACCCGUAGGCUGCUUGCUGCACUGCCAAGCUCUGCAAGCCACAAGAAUUUAUCUCGUCUUACUGAGACACCGCGAGCGAAACAGAGGAGCGACUCAUCAACGAGGCGUGGAAGAAAUUACUUGACCUCUCACCUCCUGCAUGAUGUCAGUGCCGAACCAGCAGAACACGAGCGGCCCGCAAGCUGCCGCGGCCAGUCCCAGGACGAACUUGAGCACGCUUUUCCCCUGACCCCAACUCUGCAGCAGAAGACAGAAACUGACUCAUCACGUGCUCACUGCGAAUCUAAGAUCAGUUCUUUGCUGUGGAGAUUUCCAUCAGGAUUUUAUAUAACUAAACAGUUUUAGCGCUGUUUCCAGAGCUGUGCUUUCCACGAGAGCUGGUGAUUGGUAUUUUAAUUCCAUGCUAUUAAUAUCAUCAUGAUUGAUAAUGUGUGAUAUUUUAAAUAUGGCAUCUUCUUAAAAAUAAACAUACUUCGCUAAUGCAA
This is a non-coding RNA of Zootermopsis nevadensis, 3324 nucleotides long. The record is from RefSeq and is a predicted model, not a curated record. Lineage: Eukaryota; Metazoa; Arthropoda; Insecta; Blattodea; Termopsidae.